GACGAACGCUGGCGGCGUGCUUAACACAUGCAAGUCGAACGAUGAAGCCCAGCUUGCUGGGUGGAUUAGUGGCGAACGGGUGAGUAACACGUGGGCAACCUGCCCCAAACUCUGGGAUAACUCCUCGAAAGAGGUGCUAAUACCGGAUACGAACUAGACAGACAUCUGUACUAGUUGGAAAGUUAUUUGGUUUGGGAUGGGCCCUGGGCCUAUCAGCUUGUUGGUGAGGUAACGGCUCACCAAGGCUACGACGGGUAACCGGCCUGAGAGGGCGACCGGUCACACUGGGACUGAGACACGGCCCAGACUCCUACGGGAGGCAGCAGUGGGGAAUAUUGCGCAAUGGGCGAAAGCCUGACGCAGCGACGCCGCGUGAGGGAUGAAGGUCUUCGGAUCGUAAACCUCUUUCAGUAGGGACGAAGCGAAAGUGACGGUACCUAAAGAAGAAGCACCGGCUAACUACGUGCCAGCCGCCGCGGUAA
This 482-nucleotide ribosomal RNA is filed under the name uncultured bacterium. RNAcentral describes it as "partial 16S ribosomal RNA". It matches the Rfam family "Bacterial small subunit ribosomal RNA", at positions 28 to 523 of the family's 1533-position model. The record is from RNAcentral.